UACGAAGGGGGCUAGCGUUGUUCGGAAUCACUGGGCGUAAAGCGCGCGUAGGCGGAUUGUUAAGUCAGGGGUGAAAUCCCGAGGCUCAACCUCGGAACUGCCUUUGAUACUGGCGAUCUAGAGUCCGGGAGAGGUGAGUGGAACUCCUAGUGUAGAGGUGAAAUUCGUAGAUAUUAGGAAGAACACCAGUGGCGAAGGCGGCUCACUGGCCCGGUACUGACGCUGAUGUGCGAAAGCGUGGGGAGCAAACAGG
This 253-nucleotide ribosomal RNA is filed under the name uncultured bacterium. RNAcentral's name for it is "partial 16S ribosomal RNA". It matches the Rfam family "Bacterial small subunit ribosomal RNA", at positions 524 to 776 of the family's 1533-position model. The record is from RNAcentral. RNAcentral also lists the same sequence under 1 other name.